Molecule: ribosomal RNA, 434 nt
Filed under: uncultured bacterium
Lineage: Bacteria
Description: partial 16S ribosomal RNA
Rfam family: Bacterial small subunit ribosomal RNA
Source: RNAcentral
AGCGAACGCUGGCGGCAGGCCUAACACAUGCAAGUCGAACGAACCUUUCGGGGUUAGUGGCGGACGGGUGAGUAACACGUGGGAACGUGCCCUUAGGUUCGGAAUAACUCAGGGAAACUUGUGCUAAUACCGAAUGUGCCCUUCGGGGGAAAGAUUUGUCGCCUUUAGAGCGGCCCGCGUCUGAUUAGCUAGUUGGUUGAGGUAAUGGCUCACCCAGGCGACGAUCAGUAGCUGGUCUGAGAGGAUGAUCAGCCACAUUGGGACUGAGACACGGCCCAAACUCCUACGGGAGGCAGCAGUGGGGAAUCUUGCGCAAUGGGCGAAAGCCUGACGCAGCCAUGCCGCGUGAAUGAUGAAGGUCUUAGGAUUGUAAAAUUCUUUCACCGGGGACGAUAAUGACGGUACCCGGAGAAGAAGCCCCGGCUAACUUCGUG